RNAcentral lists this small RNA (29 nucleotides) under Bombyx mori (domestic silkworm). Its description in RNAcentral is "ovarian small RNA-19995". The record is from RNAcentral. Lineage: Eukaryota; Metazoa; Arthropoda; Insecta; Lepidoptera; Bombycidae.
UACAAACAUGUUAUGUCUACGGAGUUGGC